RNAcentral lists this ribosomal RNA (497 nucleotides) under uncultured bacterium. RNAcentral's name for it is "partial 16S ribosomal RNA". It matches the Rfam family "Bacterial small subunit ribosomal RNA", at positions 28 to 507 of the family's 1533-position model. The record is from RNAcentral.
GAUGAACGCUGGCGGCGUGCCUAAUACAUGCAAGUCGAGCGAACGGACGAGAAGCUUGCUUCUCUGAUGUUAGCGGCGGACGGGUGAGUAACACGUGGAUAACCUACCUAUAAGACUGGGAUAACUUCGGGAAACCGGAGCUAAUACCGGAUAAUAUUUUGAACCGCAUGGUUCAAAAGUGAAAGACGGUCUUGCUGUCACUUAUAGAUGGAUCCGCGCUGCAUUAGCUAGUUGGUAAGGUAACGGCUUACCAAGGCAACUAUGCAUAGCCGACCUGAGAGGGGGAUCGGCCACACGGGAACUGAGACGCGGUCCAGACUCCUACGGGAGGCAGCAGUAGGGAAUCUGCGGCAAUGGUCGAAAGCCUGACGGAGCAACGCCGCGUGAGUGAUGAAGGUCUUCGGAUCGUAAAACUCUGUUAUUAGGGAAGAACAUAUGUGUAAGGAACUGUGCACAUCUUGACGGUACCUAAUCAGAAAGCCACGGCUAACUACGUG